CCCUUAGAUGUUCGGAGCUGCACGCGCGCUACACUGAAGGAAGCAGCGUGUUAGAGUACCUGGCUUGGAAGAGCUGGGUAAUCCGGUGAAUGUCCUUCGUGAUUGGGAUAGGCACUUGUAAUUAUUUGCCUUGAACGAGGAAUACCUAGUAAGUGCGAGUCAUCAGCUUGCGCUGAUUACGUCCCUGCCCUUUGUACACACCGCCCGUCGCUACUACCGAUUGGAUGGCUUAGCGAGAAUUUUGGAUCGGAGCCCGGGUGGUCGGCAACGGUCGCCCGGGAGAUCUGAGAAAUCAUUCCAGCUUGGUCAUCUAGAGGAAGUAAAAGUCGUAACA
RNAcentral lists this ribosomal RNA (334 nucleotides) under uncultured eukaryote. Its description in RNAcentral is "partial 18S ribosomal RNA". It matches the Rfam family "Eukaryotic small subunit ribosomal RNA", at positions 1470 to 1796 of the family's 1831-position model. The record is from RNAcentral.